CUGCGGAAGGAUCAUUACAGAGCGUGAGAUCCAGCCAGGACUCUUGUCGUGUGCUGGAUUGACCCUCCACCCGUGUCGACUUCUAUAUUUGUUGCUUUGGCGGGCCGGGCUCGCCCAUGUUCGCGAGAGCAUGGCGUGCUGCCCACCGGCUUCGGCUGGGGCGCGCCCGCCAGAGACCUAAUACCCAAACUCAUGUUGUCCCUGUAGUCUAAGGCAAGAUUUUAGAAUUGAUAAAACUUUCAACAACGGAUCUCUUGGCUCUGGCAUCGAUGAAGAACGCAGCGAAAUGCGAUAAGUAAUGUGAAUUGCAGAAUCUAGUGAAUCAUCGAAUCUUUGAACGCACAUUGCGCCCCUUGGUAUUCCGAGGGGCAUGCCUGUUCGAGCGUCAUAACACCCCCCUCAAGCUACCAUUUUGUGUGGCUACGGUGUUGGGGCUCGCCGUAUGUGGCGGCCCUUAAAAGCAGUGGCAGUGCCGACGUCGGCUUUACGCGUAGUAAAUCACUCGCGACAGAGUGGCGACGGCGACUAGCCAAAAGCACCCCUUUGACUUUAGAUCAUAGGUUGACCUCGAAUCAGGUAGGGAUACCCGCUGAACUUAAGCAUAUCA
This 607-nucleotide ribosomal RNA is filed under the name Erysiphe carpophila. RNAcentral's name for it is "eukaryotic LSU rRNA". The stretch from base 235 to 388 matches the Rfam family "5.8S ribosomal RNA". The record is from RNAcentral. Lineage: Eukaryota; Fungi; Ascomycota; Leotiomycetes; Helotiales; Erysiphaceae.